GCCCUGGUGGUGUAAUCCGGCUAUCAUGAAGCCCUGUCGCGGCUUCGAUUCGGGUUCAAAAAUUCGGAACUUUAUGUUUCGCAAUAUAUCGGCGGAGUCAGUUGUGAGCGAGUUCGCAACGAGCUCACUCGCAUUCCACUGCCGCUGUUGAAAAUCCCGACCAGGGCG
Molecule: transfer RNA, 168 nt
Filed under: Candidatus Woesearchaeota archaeon
Lineage: Archaea; Nanobdellati; Candidatus Woesearchaeota
Description: tRNA-Asp
Source: RNAcentral